GCCUCUUUCCGCCCCCGCCCACAAUCGAGCGCACUAACUCGCACCUUCCGGCAAGAGACGGCGCGGGCGCGCCCCGCCCGCAAGGUUUUUCGGGAGUCACGGUCUGAGGGCGACCCGGGCGACCCGGUCGCCCGUGCCCGGCUGCCACUGACCGCUCCAACGCCGCCAGGGACGACCCGCCAGCUGCCUCCGGAGCCGAGCAGGCCCCGAACCUUCCCAUUCCUAGAUUUCCAGCCGCACAACAGCCGCGGUGCCCCUGGCUCGACGCAGCUGGCCGGAGGCGCGGAGCUGGUCGUUCGUCCCGCCCGCCGUUCCGCGCCCCUCUCCCGGCUCUUGUUUCCUCGCCUCUUAACGAGGCCUUUGUGAGGAAGGUUGCUGGGCCUUGGGACUCUGACGAUCGGCUGGAAACCAGGCCUGGCCCUGUUUCAGCAUCCCCGCGUGCCAAGCCCUGGGCCGGCGUGCGGGUCCCUGCCCCUGCGAGGAAGCUGGGACUUUUGCAGGCCUGGGUGGAGACGUGUACAUAACAGAGGAAGAGUGUGGAGGAUUGGAGGACUCAGGGCAGCACGGCAGAGGCUGGAACUGCUACCAGAGUGGAGACUGAGCUCCUGGAUCGGGUACAUCCUGAAGUCUGCUGCCUUUGGAUUGGCAUUAUGAGAGCUAAUAAAUCCCCCUUUGAAACCCCCAGAGCUCAGAGGGGCUUUCUAGGCCAGGCAUCAUCAAUGUAUUCCAUCAAUAUCAAAUUAAAUGGGUUUGGAUCACACAACACGGGAUAUGAGCAAUGUUUAUUUCUUUUUUUUUGAGAUGGAGUUUGACUCUUGUCACCAGGCUGGAGUGGUGCGAUCUCAGCUCACUGCAACCUCCGUCUCCUGGGUUCAAGCGACUCCAUUCUCUUGCCUCAGCUUCCCGAGUAACUGGGAUUACAGGCGCCAGCCACUACGCCCAGCUAAUUUUUGUAUUUUUAGUAGCGACGGGGUUUCACCAUGUUGGCCAGGCUGGUCUUAAACUCCUGACCUCAGGUGAUCCACCUGCCUCAGCCUCCCAAAGUGCUGGGAUUACAGGUUUGAGCCCCCUUGCCUGGCCAAUGUUUAUUUCUUUAAAUGAAAUUUAAUCUGCUCCCAGCUGCAAUUCUACAGAGAUGUGGAAAUUCUUCUCCUUACCUACCUGGGUGGUAAAAUCCUGGGGUUCUCACAAACUCAGAAUAUUGGAGUAGGGCUCUUGUCCUUUAGCCUGUUCUUGUCACUGCUGAGAUGCCUGCCUUCCUGGUCUGAGUGUACCCUGGGACUCAGCCUCCUCAUCUGAGGCACCAUCUCCUCUGCAGGCCCAAGGAGGAUAUUGGGAGUUGGGGAAGGAAAUAUAUCUCCCCUGGACAUCUAGCUUAUCUGUCAGUUUCCACUCCCCAACCCCUUACUGCUCUGCUCACCACCCCACGGACUUGACGCUUUUCUCUCUUUCCUGGGAAGAAGGUGGCUUAAUGUACUUUCUUCUUGAGGCUGUCACCAGCAGGCGUUCACUCAGCAAGCCUGUCCUCAAGGUGGAGCCUUCUGUAGCCCACGGAGUCCCGGGACACUGCAGAACCAAUCCAUCUUGGUCCCUGCCUUGGGUGAAGUCCUGCCUCCAUUGGCCCUGAUCUUGUUGGAUCUGGGCUGCUUCUGAUGCUAGAGAAAGGGGAGGAGGGGGUGCUCCCAG
This 1686-nucleotide long non-coding RNA is filed under the name Homo sapiens (human). RNAcentral's name for it is "HSALNT0068106". The record is from RNAcentral. Lineage: Eukaryota; Metazoa; Chordata; Mammalia; Primates; Hominidae.